AUUGAACGCUGGCGGCAUGCCUUACACAUGCAAGUCGAACGGUAACGGGCCUUCGGGUGCCGACGAGUGGCGAACGGGUGAGUAAUGCAUCGGAACGUACCUUUCAGUGGGGGAUAACGUAGCGAAAGUUACGCUAAUACCGCAUAUUCUGUACGCAGGAAAGCAGGGGAUCGCAAGACCUUGCGCUGAUUGAGCGGCCGAUGUCAGAUUAGCUAGUUGGUGAGGUAAAGGCUCACCAAGGCGACGAUCUGUAGCGGGUCUGAGAGGAUGAUCCGCCACACUGGAACUGAGACACGGUCCAGACUCCUACGGGAGGCAGCAGUGGGGAAUUUUGGACAAUGGGGGCAACCCUGAUCCAGCCAUGCCGCGUGAGUGAAGAAGGCCUUCGGGUUGUAAAGCUCUUUCGGCCGGGAAGAAAUCGCAUGGGCUAAUACCCUGUGCGGAUGACGGUACCGGCAUAAGAAGCACCGGCUAACUACGUG
This 482-nucleotide ribosomal RNA is filed under the name uncultured bacterium. RNAcentral describes it as "bacterial SSU rRNA". It matches the Rfam family "Bacterial small subunit ribosomal RNA", at positions 30 to 507 of the family's 1533-position model. The record is from RNAcentral.